AUGCUCGCUUAGGCAGCACAUAUCUGGAAAUUGGAACCAUACAGAGAAGAUUACCAUAGCCCCUGCACAAGGAUGACAUACACAUUCAUGAAGCAUUACAUAUUUUU
Hippopotamus amphibius kiboko is the source of this 107-nucleotide small nuclear RNA. Lineage: Eukaryota; Metazoa; Chordata; Mammalia; Artiodactyla; Hippopotamidae. The record is from RefSeq and is a predicted model, not a curated record.